RNAcentral lists this ribosomal RNA (244 nucleotides) under uncultured bacterium. RNAcentral's name for it is "partial 16S ribosomal RNA". It matches the Rfam family "Bacterial small subunit ribosomal RNA", at positions 1260 to 1505 of the family's 1533-position model. The record is from RNAcentral.
AGAGGAAACUAAUCUCCCAAAAGCCGUCUCAGUUCGGAUUGUUCUCUGCAACUCGAGAGCAUGAAGUCGGAAUCGCUAGUAAUCGUGGAUCAGCAUGCCACGGUGAAUACGUUCCCGGGUCUUGUACACACCGCCCGUCACACCAUGGGAGUUGGUUUUACCCGAAGGCCGUGUGCUAACUACGGAGGCAGCGGACCACGGUAGGGUCAGCGACUGGGGUGAAGUCGUAACAAGGUAACCGUAA